UCCCUGGUGGUCCAGUGGCUAAGACUCCGUGCUUUCAGUGCAGGAGGCCAGGGUUCGAUCCCUGAUCAGGGAA
Molecule: transfer RNA, 73 nt
Filed under: Bos taurus (domestic cattle)
Lineage: Eukaryota; Metazoa; Chordata; Mammalia; Artiodactyla; Bovidae
Rfam family: tRNA
About the family: Transfer RNA (tRNA) molecules are approximately 80 nucleotides in length. Their secondary structure includes four short double-helical elements and three loops (D, anti-codon, and T loops). Further hydrogen bonds mediate the characteristic L-shaped molecular structure. tRNAs have two regions of fundamental functional importance: the anti-codon, which is responsible for specific mRNA codon recognition, and the 3' end, to which the tRNAs corresponding amino acid is attached (by aminoacyl-tRNA synthetases). tRNAs cope with the degeneracy of the genetic code in two manners: having more than one tRNA (with a specific anti-codon) for a particular amino acid; and 'wobble' base-pairing, i.e. permitting non-standard base-pairing at the 3rd anti-codon position.
Source: Rfam by way of RNAcentral